Molecule: ribosomal RNA, 405 nt
Filed under: uncultured bacterium
Lineage: Bacteria
Description: bacterial SSU rRNA
Rfam family: Bacterial small subunit ribosomal RNA
Source: RNAcentral
UCGGGAAUAUUGCGCAAUGGAGGAAACUCUGACGCAGUGACGCCGCGUAUAGGAAGAAGGUUUUCGGAUUGUAAACUAUUGUCGUUAGGGAAGAUAUAAGACAGUACCUAAGGAGGAAGCUCCGGCUAACUACGUUCCAGCAGCCGCGGUAAUACGUAGGGAGCAAGCGUUAUCCGGAUUUAUUGGGUGUAAAGGGUGCGUAGACGGGAAGGCAAGUUAGUUGUGAAAUCCCUCGGCUUAACUGAGGAACUGCAACUAAAACUAUCUUUCUUGAGUGUUGGAGAGGAAAGUGGAAUUCCUAGUGUAGCGGUGAAAUGCGUAGAUAUUAGGAGGAACACCGGUGGCGAAGGCGACUUUCUGGACAACAACUGACGUUGAGGCACGAAAGUGUGGGGAGCAAACAGG